This 552-nucleotide ribosomal RNA is filed under the name uncultured Basidiomycota. RNAcentral describes it as "LSU rRNA". It matches the Rfam family "Eukaryotic large subunit ribosomal RNA", at positions 677 to 1236 of the family's 3401-position model. Lineage: Eukaryota; Fungi; Basidiomycota. The record is from RNAcentral.
AACAUAUCUGCGAGUGUUUGGGUGAAAACCCAUGUGCGUAAUGAAAGUGAAAGUUGAGAUCCCUUCUCAAGGGAGCAUCGACGCCCGGACCAGACCUUUUGUGACGGAUCCGCGGUAGAGCAUGUAUGUUGGGACCCGAAAGAUGGUGAACUAUGCCUGAAUAGGGUGAAGUCAGAGGAAACUCUGGUGGAGGCUCGUAGCGAUUCUGACGUGCAAAUCGAUCGUCAAAUUUGGGUAUAGGGGCGAAAGACUAAUCGAGCCAUCUAGUAGCUGGUUCCUGCCGAAGUUUCCCUCAGGAUAGCAGAAACUCAUAUCAGAUUUAUGUGGUAAAGCGAAUGAUUAGAGGCCUUGGGGUUGAAACAACCUUAACCUAUUCUCAAACUUUAAAUAUGUAAGAACGAGCCGUCUCUUGACUGGACUGCUCGAUGAUUGAGAGUUUCUAGUGGGCCAUUUUUGGUAAGCAGAACUGGCGAUGCGGGAUGAACCGAACGCGAGGUUAAGGUGCCGGAAUUCACGCUCAUCAGACACCACAAAAGGUGUUAGUUCAUCUAG